This 842-nucleotide ribosomal RNA is filed under the name Lophiotrema vagabundum. Its description in RNAcentral is "eukaryotic LSU rRNA". It matches the Rfam family "Eukaryotic large subunit ribosomal RNA", at positions 76 to 936 of the family's 3401-position model. The record is from RNAcentral. Lineage: Eukaryota; Fungi; Ascomycota; Dothideomycetes; Pleosporales; Lophiotremataceae.
UGCCCCAGUAACGGCGAGUGAAGCGGCAAGAGCUCAAAUUUGAAAUCUGGCCCUCUCAGGGCCCGAGUUGUAAUUUGUAGAGGGCGCUUUGGCGUUGGCCCCGGCCUAAGUUCCUUGGAACAGGACGUCACAGAGGGUGAGAACCCCGUACGUGGCCGCCGGCCUCCGCCGUGUAAAGCCCCUUCGACGAGUCGAGUUGUUUGGGAAUGCAGCUCUAAAUGGGAGGUAAAUUUCUUCUAAAGCUAAAUACUGGCCAGAGACCGAUAGCGCACAAGUAGAGUGAUCGAAAGAUGAAAAGCACUUUGGAAAGAGAGUCAAAAAGCACGUGAAAUUGUUGAAAGGGAAGCGCUUGCAGCCAGACUUGCCUGUAGUUGUUCAUCCGGUGUCUUCAUCGGUGCACUCUUCUGCGGGCAGGCCAGCAUCAGUCCGGGCGGUCGGAUAAAGGCCUCGGGAAUGUAGCUCCCCUCGGGGAGUGUUAUAGCCCGGGGUGCCAUGCGACCAGCCUGGACUGAGGUCCGCGCAUCCGCUAGGAUGCUGGCGUAAUGGCUGUAAGCGGCCCGUCUUGAAACACGGACCAAGGAGUCUAACAUCUAUGCGAGUGUUUGGGUGUCAAGCCCGGGCGCGCAAUGAAAGUGAACGGAGGUGGGAACCCCUCGGGGCGCACCAUCGACCGAUCCUGAUGUCUUCGGAUGGAUUUGAGUAAGAGCAUAGCUGUUGGGACCCGAAAGAUGGUGAACUAUGCCUGAAUAGGGUGAAGCCAGAGGAAACUCUGGUGGAGGCUCGCAGCGGUUCUGACGUGCAAAUCGAUCGUCAAAUUUGGGCAUAGGGGCGAAAGACUAAUC